AUAUACACAUUUUUUCUCUUUUGCUCAAAAUGUUGAUUAGAAAAGGAAAGCUGUGAGGAACUAGAGACUGUGUAACUGGAACACAAAAGACUCCUAGAGCAAAGCACCGUAGAGACUACUCAUGUCUUGGGUUCAUCCACUGCAGCUCUUCAUUAAUUAUUCUAAGCAAAGGAUUUGGGCCAGAUUUUCAAAGCUUUGAGACUGACUCAACCUCCAAAGAGUCCCAUCUGAUGAUGUCUUCACUGGGGGAAAUCCAAUGGCCUGUUGCUUCUCGGAUUCAUAGCUUUUUAAGACAAAAAGAGACCAAUAUGACAGUCAACUCUAUCCUCCUGUGAGUAAGGCACAAUACUGUUUGUGAUGGUGACAUACUGGGCACAUGGAUGCUGGAAAUGGAUUUUGCCUGUGUUUCAAGUUGGAAAUAAAUCU
Trachemys scripta elegans is the source of this 426-nucleotide long non-coding RNA. RefSeq lists it as uncharacterized. The record is from RefSeq and is a predicted model, not a curated record. Lineage: Eukaryota; Metazoa; Chordata; Testudines; Emydidae. The transcript is spliced from 3 exons.